UUUGUUUCUCAAUCUCCUAAUCAAUAAUUAUUUCUCUACUUUUUUUCCCCCUUCUUGCUCGCUCUUAAAUCUUUUGUCUCUUACUCUGUCGCAGCGAUGAGUGAUCCCAAGUAUGCUUAUCCUUAUCCUGCUCAAGGUUACCCUGCUCAAGGUAAUUAUUAUCAAGGGCCACCAGUGAUGGCACCACCCCAGUAUGCAGCUCCGCCGAGAAAGGAAACUGGUUUCCUACAGGGAUGCCUUGCAGCUUUGUGUUGCUGUUGCCUUCUGGACGAGUGUUGCUGUGACCCCUCUGUUUUUUGUGUGUUCUAAUUAAUUAAGUGCCUCCUUGUGAUUAAAAUAAAUAAGUACCAGAUUAGGUUUUUCCAGAUUUUUUCCCUUCGUUUCUUUGUCAUUUUUAUUUCUAGUAAUGAUUACAUAUGUAGUUUUUAAAUAUUGUAAUUUUAGUGAAUGAAGUUUUACUAAUGAACAAGUUUCUGGCUAUAAA
Rhododendron vialii is the source of this 484-nucleotide long non-coding RNA. RefSeq lists it as uncharacterized. NCBI's taxonomy places the organism in Eukaryota, Viridiplantae, Streptophyta, Magnoliopsida, Ericales, Ericaceae. The record is from RefSeq and is a predicted model, not a curated record. The transcript has 3 exons.